AUCUUAUCAAAGUUUGAUGUUUAGAAUGAUACUGAUUUUCAUGAUUAAUGAUUCCAUAUAACUCUUCUAGACUGUUGAGAAGAAGAAAAUAGAAGUCCACUUUCUAAGCCUCACUAAGCACACAUGGCAGAAACCAGGAGAUAAGGAGUGGCAAGAUCUCAAACCACUGGUGCUGAUGAAUUCAUGAAUAUGUGAUGGUAUUGUGAAUUGAGUACCAUUUCUUCAAAAAAGGUCAAGAACACACCAUGUGGAUCAGAUGGUAACCAAGGUAAUCUCAUUUUAUCUUUUUGAAGCAAGGCAUUUUCAGCCUUUCCUUUAUCCUCCAUUUUUUGGUUCUUAAUCCUCUCACUUUCUUUGGGGUGCUUUUCUGCAAUGACACCUGGAGUGUACUCCUGAAUUUCACUUCCUCUUUUUCAGACUGUAGAUUCCCAGGAAAACUGAACCAGUUGCAUUUCAGUGCACUUGAAGAGAUUUGUAAGGAAGCAAGGCAGAAUGAGCUCACCUUGCCAGUGGACAGGAGACACCAUGAAAAAACCACAAUGGAAUCAGCUGUGAGGAGGAGCUCAGUAGCUCCAGAGUGGCCAGUCAUCCGUCCAUGUUUAUCUUCACUCUGGUCUGUGAGAAUGCCCAAGAAGUCAAGACACUACCAUGCACCUGGAAACACUGCAGCAUACACAGGGAAGUGGAAGUACUUAAAAGCAAAUCAGAAAGACUGGUAAGGGGAGCAAAGUUGACUAAUUCUUUUUUCAGGGGAGU
RNAcentral lists this long non-coding RNA (756 nucleotides) under Parus major (Great Tit). RNAcentral's name for it is "lncRNA (ENSPMJG00000018534.1)". The record is from RNAcentral. Lineage: Eukaryota; Metazoa; Chordata; Aves; Passeriformes; Paridae.